Molecule: transfer RNA, 89 nt
Filed under: Vicinamibacterales bacterium
Lineage: Bacteria; Pseudomonadati; Acidobacteriota; Vicinamibacteria; Vicinamibacterales
Description: tRNA-Leu
Rfam family: tRNA
About the family: Transfer RNA (tRNA) molecules are approximately 80 nucleotides in length. Their secondary structure includes four short double-helical elements and three loops (D, anti-codon, and T loops).
Source: RNAcentral
GCCUGAGUGGCGGAACUGGCAGACGCAGGAGACUCAAAAUCUCCCACCGGUCACCCGGUGUGUGGGUUCGAUUCCCUCCUCAGGCACCA